AAACAAUAAAAAGUAGAAAAAAUUCAAAAAUUUUUUGGUAGGGAGAGGGAGAAUUGAGUGAGUCAGAAUCAGAGAAAUGGCGGUGAGUCGAAACUAACAACAUUAUGAGGAUGUAUUCUGGAAUCGAGGGUCAUCCAUUCCGGGCUUCAGAUCGGGGAAACUACGAUUUGUUUCAAUGAUUGCCGAGUUCUACUCCAAUCGAAUCACACAUUGUUCGAGCGUUGCGAAGAUCAGCUUCCCACCACAUCGUUUCGAUUUUCUUCCUACAUGUUUUUGGUUAUGGAUCGAGGAAGGCGGAAUAGGUUCAAAUGCUUCAAAAUUCUUGCACAAUAAAAGUGAUUUAGAGUGUUAGAAAUUAUGCUUCGAGAUGAUUUUCCAUACUUAUGUCAGCAUAUAUAUAUACAUUUACUCAUAGAGAA
Gossypium arboreum is the source of this 419-nucleotide long non-coding RNA. RefSeq lists it as uncharacterized. Lineage: Eukaryota; Viridiplantae; Streptophyta; Magnoliopsida; Malvales; Malvaceae. The transcript has 2 exons. The record is from RefSeq and is a predicted model, not a curated record.